This 88-nucleotide transfer RNA is filed under the name Lachnospiraceae bacterium. RNAcentral describes it as "tRNA-Ser". It matches the Rfam family "tRNA". Rfam says of the family: Transfer RNA (tRNA) molecules are approximately 80 nucleotides in length. Their secondary structure includes four short double-helical elements and three loops (D, anti-codon, and T loops). Further hydrogen bonds mediate the characteristic L-shaped molecular structure. tRNAs have two regions of fundamental functional importance: the anti-codon, which is responsible for specific mRNA codon recognition, and the 3' end, to which the tRNAs corresponding amino acid is attached (by aminoacyl-tRNA synthetases). tRNAs cope with the degeneracy of the genetic code in two manners: having more than one tRNA (with a specific anti-codon) for a particular amino acid; and 'wobble' base-pairing, i.e. permitting non-standard base-pairing at the 3rd anti-codon position. Lineage: Bacteria; Bacillati; Bacillota; Clostridia; Lachnospirales; Lachnospiraceae. The record is from RNAcentral.
GGAAGCGUGGCCGAGUGGAUUAUGGCACUUGUCUAGAAAACAAGAGAGUGUAACAGCUCCGCAGGUUCGAAUCCUGCCGCUUCCGCCA